CCGCAUGAAAAGCAAAGAAAGCUCGGGAUCCAUUUUCUUCACCGUCGAGCAUGUCCACCGCUAUGCGGCUACUUCGAAAAUGCGGUGGCAUUUGUGCAACUCCAUCUCUGAGAGCUCGAAGUUUCCGAUCGAAUGCAGCGCUAGAAGCCAUAGCCAAAGCUUCUGAAGAAAGAAUCCCAAAUAUCGCUUUGUACAACUACCCCUCAUUUUCUGGAGCUUUCUCCGCUCUCUUCGCUCACCUCUUCCACUCUCAUCUCAACCUCCCUUGCCUCAUCUUGCCAUUCUCUUCCGUUGAGCCUCUCAGGGUUGAGGAUUUGAAUGUUGAGGGAAUAAACAAAUGUUAUUUUCUUGAUUUUCUUGGGCCAAAGGGAUUUGCAGUGGAUCUUUCCCAAAAAUCACCAUGCCAGGUAAUAGGCUUUGAUCACCGAAAAUCAUCAGUUUCCCAGAUUCCUUCUCCGGAAGAUUGCCCUGAGAACCUCAAAUUUCAUUUUGAUCUUGAGAGGAGUAGCUCAAAUGCAGUAUAUGAAUAUUUCUCUAAUGAACUUGCAGAUAUGAAAUCUCCUAAUGGGGAGGCUGAGGGUCUAUUGAACCCAGAAGACCGUGAUCGUAUUGAAAUGGUUCUAAAGUACAUUGAAGAUGGAGAUCUUUGCCGAUGGAAGUUACCAGACAUUAAAGCAUUUAAUAUUGGACUUAGUGGAUGGCGCUCAAAAUUCAACAGCAUCACUAAUCCAUGCAUGUAUGAGCAGUUGCUGGAGAUAAGUGCUGUGGAUUUAAUUUCCAAGGGAAAUUCUUAUAUUUCCUCUUGUCAGCAUGCUGCAAGUAAUCUGCUGAAAUUGAAUAAAGUUUUCAAAGUUCGGUUGGGCAGAGGAUUUUAUGGAGAGUGUCUGGGAGUUAGAGCUGAUGGUAAUUCAAACUUAACUGAUGAAAUUGGCAAGCAACUUAGUCAAAAGAGUGCUGCAGCUGGUUUAAGGCCUAUAGGAGCUGUUACUUACAUGCAACGGAAUAAUCUAAAAAUGUGCUUGAGGAGCACUGAUAGUGCUACUGAUACGUCUGAAGUUGCGAAGGCAUAUGGUGGAGGUGGUUCCCCAAGUUCUAGCUCCUUUAUAAUAAGGAUGGAUGAGUAUAACCAAUGGCUUUCAGUGAAUUCAUCUUGAUGUUGAGGUUUCAGAGGAUAUUGGCUGAUAUGGCUUGAAUCUUGGUGUUGUGGUGUCUUAUCAACUACACAUUGCAUGGGAAAGGCCUACAAGUUCUCUUGGAACCAGUGCUCUAAUGGUGUUACCAGACAGAUGAAAAUGGACUGAGAGGAAGAGAAUGAAAAAGGUGGAGACUGAGACAGACUCUUCCCUUCACUGGUCUCCUCUAGUUUUAUCAAUUGAUGGAUAUAGUACCAAGAGGUGCUCUAGAAUUUUCUACGUCAUUAUGCAUGCUCAAUAAAAGUUAAAAACCAUUAUUCAAAGGGCAGAGUAGUAGGAAUUUUUUAGGGUACCAAGAGCUCUCAUCAGGCCUUAAAAAUCUUUGGAUGUGAGCAAAAUUUCUUUUUCUCGAGUUUAUUGAUUGUUUGGAAAGUGCCUAAUUCCUAUGUAUUCUGUGUCCCCUUUUUUGUGUGGAGUCUCUUAACACAUAUUUCUUAUUGCCUAAAAAUAUUUUGUUUUUAGAAGUUUGAAUUCUGAGAAGUCUUAUUGCCUAAAAAAAACUGGUUUGUGUAGUAGUUUUUUCCAUUUCCCUGAUUACAAAUGAUUGAUAUAAUGUACUUUUCUGCUAUCAGAAGAAAAUUAGCAAAAAUUACAGAUCACUGAAUUGGUACACAUUCACUUGAAAUAGGACUUGUAUGCCAUGAAUG
RNA transcript from Vitis riparia (riverbank grape), 1840 nucleotides. RefSeq lists it as uncharacterized. NCBI's taxonomy places the organism in Eukaryota, Viridiplantae, Streptophyta, Magnoliopsida, Vitales, Vitaceae. The record is from RefSeq and is a predicted model, not a curated record. The transcript is spliced from 10 exons.